Molecule: ribosomal RNA, 253 nt
Filed under: uncultured bacterium
Lineage: Bacteria
Description: partial 16S ribosomal RNA
Rfam family: Bacterial small subunit ribosomal RNA
Source: RNAcentral
UACGAAGGGGGCUAGCGUUGCUCGGAAUCACUGGGCGUAAAGGGUGCGUAGGCGGGUCUUUAAGUCAGGGGUGAAAUCCUGGAGCUCAACUCCAGAACUGCCUUUGAUACUGAAGAUCUUGAGUUCGGGAAAGGUGAGUGGAACUGCGAGUGUAGAGGUGAAAUUCGUAGAUAUUCGCAAGAACACCAGUGGCGAAGGCGGCUCACUGGCCCGAUACUGACGCUGAUGCACGAAAGCGUGGGGAGCAAACAGG